Molecule: ribosomal RNA, 252 nt
Filed under: uncultured bacterium
Lineage: Bacteria
Description: partial 16S ribosomal RNA
Rfam family: Bacterial small subunit ribosomal RNA
Source: RNAcentral
UACGGGGGGGCAAGCGUUGUUCGGCAUUACUGGGCGUAAAGGGCGCGUAGGCUGCCAUGCGUGUCUUCCGUGAAAUCCCUCGGCUUAACUGAGGACGUGCGGAAGAAACUGCAAGGCUCGAGUCCGGGAGAGGGGGGUGGAAUUCCCAGUGUAGCGGUGAAAUGCGUAGAUAUUGGGAGGAACACCGGUGGCGAAGGCGGCCCCCUGGACCGGUACUGACGCUGAGGCGCGAAAGCGUGGGUAGCAAACGGG